Long non-coding RNA from Amphiprion ocellaris (clown anemonefish), 657 nucleotides. NCBI's taxonomy places the organism in Eukaryota, Metazoa, Chordata, Actinopteri, Pomacentridae. The record is from Ensembl.
CUGAGCGUCCACCUGCUUCCCCACUCUCUCAGAUACUAAUUGUGUGGGGAGGUAAACACAGCAGUCAAGUGGAGAGGACGGCGAGUCAAGCGUGAAUAUCAAUCUUCCCACAUCAGUGUCAUCAGAUGACUUUGACGGAGUUGAGGCAGGGCUCAUUAGGGCGCCACGGGCUGCAAUAACAUCCAGGUGGAGGGCUCUGAUGUUCGCCAGGUAACAGCAAAGGAAAAAGUGACGCACAGAGAGCGGAAGAAAAGGUCAAAACUGCCUGAACUGAGUGGCCAGCAGAAGGCUUCUACCUGCUUCCUACAUCUGGCUCUGCUCGGCUGCUCCCGCGGCUGCCACACAUCACUUCAGGAAUCUGAUGAACUGUACCAACCUCAGAUUAACCUCCAGCCCUGUCUUUCUUUUUCUGCAAUCCCAGACCAUCACUGGAGGUUUCCUAGCAGAUCGGGGCGUGAAAACAACAGGAAGAAAGAUAUCAGAUAACAAGGCGGAGUGGUGUCUCAGCCACCGGGAAUGAAGUGACAGGCCGUGAUGGAGCACAGGGACGGAAUCAGGAGAAAUGCAUCUUCAAGCUGUGGACGGCUGCACCAAGCGUUCAAGGGUAACUGAGACUUUGUAAUGAAAGAGUGGCAGAUUUAAAAUUUUUUAAAGCAA